Molecule: long non-coding RNA, 484 nt
Organism: Capsicum annuum
Lineage: Eukaryota; Viridiplantae; Streptophyta; Magnoliopsida; Solanales; Solanaceae
Exons: 2
Source: RefSeq, a predicted model, not a curated record
UCUAUUAGGUCCUCUUCACAAUCACGCCUCUCACUCUCAGUCUCUCACUCUCUCUCUCUCUCUCAGUCAUGAAAAAUUACUGUUGCUGACAAGAUCGAACUUGUGCCGAAGAUAGAACUUCGAAUUGAGCCAAAAAUUCGACUUGGAGUCUACUCCCAGAAGAAUUGAAGAUCGAAUUCGAAGGUCAAAAAUUUCAGUCUGAUGUCAAUGGAAAUAAAAAGGGUAAUAAACAAGAAAAGGAACGAUUUCAUUUGCAUAGACCCAACUGCUAUUCUCUAUUUAGUUUAUGUAAUUCAUUGUGUAUGUGUUAUUUGUGGUGCUCGUCGACUUUUAUCAGUUAUUUGUGAGCAAUAUUUGAUUUUGAUGUAAUGGGUUUGCUGUUUUUUUUACUUUUGUAGUAUGGAUUGUGUGAAUUUCUGUGAGUUUAGCUAAACAUGAUUAAUUAUACUGUUACUUUGGAUUUUUUACUAUUCUAUUUGUGCUA